Molecule: ribosomal RNA, 434 nt
Filed under: uncultured Clostridium sp.
Lineage: Bacteria; Bacillati; Bacillota; Clostridia; Eubacteriales; Clostridiaceae
Description: partial 16S ribosomal RNA
Rfam family: Bacterial small subunit ribosomal RNA
Source: RNAcentral
ACGGAAGGCAGCAGUGGGGAAUAUUGGACAAUGGGGGAAACCCUGAUCCAGCGACGCCGCGUGAGUGAAGAAGUAUUUCGGUAUGUAAAGCUCUUUAAGCAGGAAAGAAAAUGACGGUACCUGCAGAAUAAGCCCCGGCUAACUACGUGCCAGCAGCCGCGGUAAUACGUAGGGGGCAAGCGUUAUCCGGAUUUACUGGGUGUAAAGGGAGCGUAGACGGCGGUGCAAGUCUGAUGUGAAAGCCCGGGGCUCAACCCCGGUACUGCGUUGGAAACUGUACUGCUAGAGUGCAGGAGAGGUAAGUGGAAUUCCUAGUGUAGCGGUGAAAUGCGUAGAUAUUAGGAGGAACACCAGUGGCGAAGGCGGCUUACUGGACUGUAACUGACGUUGAGGCUCGAAAGCGUGGGGAGCAAACAGGAUUAGAUACCCUGGUA